CCUCCCGCUCGAGGUUUCAUUUGACCCAGGCCGGUCAGCUUCAGUGUCGAUUAUUUUGGACCCGUGAUGCCGGCUGGAGUCUGUGUGUAAAAGUGCGCUUUAAUAAUAAAUGCACCAUGAAGCGGAAACAGUUUCUCCCCGAGGUCCAGGGAGGAGUGAGGCGGAGGAGGAGGUCGGCGGAGCGGGGUCCGGAUGAGGUUUCCACGAAAAAGACGCAGCCGCUUCGCUCCGUGAAGACCAAAUCCCGACAUCCGGGCACCGGAGGCGCCGCGAGGGCAGUAGCAGCAGUGGCGGCGCGCGCCGCUCGCGAAUCCGAAAACGGGCUCGUGCCGCCAAGAGGCGCGCAGAACGGCUCCGGUGACGGAGCUUCCGAGGGAGGCGCUUCGCGGGACCCGGAGGCGCUGGCGGGGGUCCGGCUGGAGGAGCAUCCGGAGGGGGGGGACCGGCGGGCGGCCGAGGAGGAGGAGAGCUCGGGAUCACUGCCCGGCGUGGACAGCAGCGUCUUCUUGGACGAGGACAGUAAUCAGAUCAUGCCUGUGGGACACAUUUUUGGCAACCUGGACCUUGUGCAGGAUUAUCCGCCUCGAAACCCUACGAGAGCCCCCGUGAACAGGAGGGAGUACAGGAGGUUGCACUUCAUUGCCAAGGAGGAUGAGGAUGAAGAUGCUGCUACUGAUGACGAUGGAUCUCUGAGCACAGAGCAGCAGAAAGUUUAUUAUAGAAAAAUUACACCAGAAUCUCCCACCCCCCCCCACAGACGGUACGUAAAUGGGAAGCUGCAUAAGAAAUGGGAGCAGAUGAGAGGUAUGGCUUUUUAAAUAUUGAUGUUGGUGGUAGGGGGAAUUUAAUCCUUUUCAUAUUGGAUGAACAAGUUCAGCCUGUAACCUUUUCCCCAAGAUCCUAGACAGUUCUAAUUUAAAGACCAUGUCCAUGCAAUACACUUCCUUAAUUUCUCACUGUGUUCCAGGUGUCAAGCGGUGCUCAAAGAACUGCAAAAAUGGACUGUUGAAGGUCGUGAACACUCUUCUUGUGACAGACGAUGUGCACCAGGCGGAG
RNA transcript from Scleropages formosus (Asian bonytongue), 1056 nucleotides. It is a transcript of the gene named chromosome 2 C1orf174 homolog, with no coding region annotated. The transcript is spliced from 6 exons. Lineage: Eukaryota; Metazoa; Chordata; Actinopteri; Osteoglossiformes; Osteoglossidae. The record is from RefSeq and is a predicted model, not a curated record.